RNAcentral lists this ribosomal RNA (784 nucleotides) under Chromadorita aff. leuckarti 2 JS-2018. Its description in RNAcentral is "SSU rRNA". It matches the Rfam family "Eukaryotic small subunit ribosomal RNA", at positions 99 to 891 of the family's 1831-position model. Lineage: Eukaryota; Metazoa; Nematoda; Chromadorea; Chromadorida; Chromadoridae. The record is from RNAcentral.
CAUUACAACAGCCAUAGUUUAUUGGAUCUUAGAGUCCUACUUGGAUACCUGUGGUAAUUCUAGAGCUAAUACACGCAAUCAAGCCUCAACCUUACGGGCGGGGCGCAUUUAUUAGAACAAAACCAAUUGGCUUCGGCCAUAGAUUGGUGAAUCUGAAUAACUACGCUGAUCGCACGGGCUUGUCCCGGCGACGUAUCCUUCAAGUGUCUGCCUUAUCAACUUUCGAUGGUAGUUUAUAUGACUACCAUGGUUGUAACGGGUAACGGAGAAUAAGGGUUCGACUCCGGAGAGGGAGCCUGAGAAACGGCUACCACAUCCAAGGAAGGCAGCAGGCGCGCAAAUUACCCACUCUCAGAACGAGGAGGUAGUGACGAAAAAUAACGAGACAGUUCUCUAUGAGGUCUGUCAUCGGAAUGGGUACAAUCUAAACCCUUUAACGAGGAUCUAUUGGAGGGCAAGUCUGGUGCCAGCAGCCGCGGUAAUUCCAGCUCCAAUAGCGUAUAUUAAAGUUGUUGCGGUUAAAAAGCUUGUAGUUGGAUCUGCGGUCACAGACGCUGGUUUCCUUCACGGAAUACUGGUUGUCUUGACCUACCUUGCUGGUUUUCCCUUGGUGCUCUUUACUGAGUGCCUUGGGUGGCUAGCACGUUUACUUUGAAAAAAUUAGAGUGCUUAACGCAGGCUUUUGCCUGAAUAGUGGUGCAUGGAAUAAUGGAAUAGGACCUCGGUUCUAUUUUGUUGGUUUUCGGAGCACGAGGUAAUGAUUAAGAGGGACAGACGGGGGCAU